GAUGAACGCUAGCGACAGGCUUAACACAUGCAAGUCGAGGGGCAGCAUAAAAGUAGCAAUACUUUGGUGGCGACCGGCGCACGGGUGAGUAACGCGUAUGCAACCUACCUAUCAGAGGGGGAUAACCCGGCGAAAGUCGGACUAAUACCGCAUAAAACAGGGGCACCGCAUGGUGAUAUUUGUUAAAAAUUUAUUGCUGAUAGAUGGGCAUGCGUUCCAUUAGGUAGUUGGAGAGGUAACGGCUCACCAAGCCAACGAUGGAUAGGGGAACUGAGAGGUUGGUCCCCCACACUGGUACUGAGACACGGACCAGACUCCUACGGGAGGCAGCAGUGAGGAAUAUUGGUCAAUGGGCGAGAGCCUGAACCAGCCAAGUCGCGUGAAGGAAGAAGGAUCUAUGGUUCGUAAACUUCUUUUGCAGGGGAAUAAAGUGCAGGACGUGUCCUGUUUUGUAUGUACCCUGAGAAUAAGGAUCGGCUAACUCCGUGCCAGCAGCCGCGGUAAAACG
RNAcentral lists this ribosomal RNA (508 nucleotides) under uncultured bacterium. RNAcentral's name for it is "bacterial SSU rRNA". It matches the Rfam family "Bacterial small subunit ribosomal RNA", at positions 28 to 527 of the family's 1533-position model. The record is from RNAcentral.